This is a long non-coding RNA of Centropristis striata (black sea bass), 151 nucleotides long. RefSeq lists it as uncharacterized. NCBI's taxonomy places the organism in Eukaryota, Metazoa, Chordata, Actinopteri, Perciformes, Serranidae. The transcript has 3 exons. The record is from RefSeq and is a predicted model, not a curated record.
GGAGACUGUUGUUCUGUUCGAUUGAGGGUAGCAUGCCAGCCGUCGACCGGGGCUAACGACUAGCUUCAGGAAGCUUCAGCUCCCGUGUUCCACGCUGCAUGGCGUACUUUCAUAGCCCACUGCCAUAUUUUGUCCCCAAUGUUGUUUUGUU